GUCCACGCCGUAAACGUUGGGCACUAGGUGUGGGUUCCAACCAACGGGAUCCGUGCCGCAGCUAACGCAUUAAGUGCCCCGCCUGUGGAGUACGGCCGCAAGGCUAAAACUCAAAGGAAUUGACGGGGGCCCGCACAAGCGGCGGAGCAUGUUGCUUAAUUCGAGGCAACGCGAAGAACCUUACCUGGGUUUGACAUUCUGGGAAAAGCCGUAGAGAUACGGUGUCCGAAAGGGUCCAGAACAGGUGGUGCAUGGCUGUCGU
This 262-nucleotide ribosomal RNA is filed under the name uncultured bacterium. RNAcentral describes it as "partial 16S ribosomal RNA". It matches the Rfam family "Bacterial small subunit ribosomal RNA", at positions 793 to 1055 of the family's 1533-position model. The record is from RNAcentral.